RNAcentral lists this ribosomal RNA (806 nucleotides) under uncultured bacterium. Its description in RNAcentral is "bacterial SSU rRNA". It matches the Rfam family "Bacterial small subunit ribosomal RNA", at positions 8 to 796 of the family's 1533-position model. The record is from RNAcentral.
AGAGUUUGAUCCUGGCUCAGAACGAACGCUGGCGGCGUGCCUAACACAUGCAAGUCGAGCGCGAAUGGAGCAAUCCUAGUAGAGCGGCGCACGGGUGCGUAACACGUGGAUAAUCUGCCUGGGUGUCUGGGAUAACCAGUCGAAAGAUUGGCUAAUACCGGAUAAGCCCCCGGGAGCUUCGGCUCUUGAGGGAAAAGGUGGCCUCUGUAUACAAGCUAUCACAUCCAGAUGAGUCCGCGGCCCAUCAGCUAGUUGGCGGGGUAAUGGCCCACCAAGGCAACGACGGGUAGCUGGUCUGAGAGGACGAUCAGCCACACUGGAACUGAGACACGGUCCAGACUCCUACGGGAGGCAGCAGUGGGGAAUUUUGCGCAAUGGGCGAAAGCCUGACGCAGCAACGCCGCGUGUGUGAUGAAGGUCUUCGGAUUGUAAAGCACUUUCGACCGGGACGAAAACCCAUUGGCUAACAUCCAAUGGCUUGACGGUACCGGGAGAAGAAGCACCGGCUAACUCUGUGCCAGCAGCCGCGGUAAUACAGAGGGUGCAAGCGUUGUUCGGAAUUAUUGGGCGUAAAGCGCGUGUAGGCGGCUUUGCAAGUCGGGUGUGAAAGCCCUCAGCUCAACUGAGGAAGUGCGCCCGAAACUGCAGAGCUUGAGUGCCGGAGAGGGUGGCGGAAUUCCCCAAGUAGAGGUGAAAUUCGUAGAUAUGGGGAGGAACACCGGUGGCGAAGGCGGCCACCUGGACGGUAACUGACGCUGAGACGCGAAAGCGUGGGGAGCAAACAGGAUUAGAUACCCUAGUAGUCC